GACAGAGGUCCCGAGCGUUAGGCGGAAUCACUGGGCUUAAAGCGUGUGUAGGCGGAUUUGUAAGUACCUUGUGAAAUCCCACGGCUUAACCUGGAACUGCUGGGUAUCUGCAAUCUUGGGCCCAUCUAGGGGCUAGCGGAACAAAACGGUGGAGCGGUGAAAAUGCGUAGAUAUCGUUUUGGAACGCCAAUGUGAAAAACAGCUAGCUGGGGGAUGUGCCGACUGAGACACGAAAAGCCAGGGGGGAGCGAAACGGGGG
Molecule: ribosomal RNA, 259 nt
Filed under: uncultured bacterium
Lineage: Bacteria
Description: partial 16S ribosomal RNA
Rfam family: Bacterial small subunit ribosomal RNA
Source: RNAcentral